RNAcentral lists this transfer RNA (73 nucleotides) under Bos taurus (domestic cattle). It matches the Rfam family "tRNA". From Rfam's summary of the family: Transfer RNA (tRNA) molecules are approximately 80 nucleotides in length. Lineage: Eukaryota; Metazoa; Chordata; Mammalia; Artiodactyla; Bovidae. The record is from Rfam by way of RNAcentral. RNAcentral also lists the same sequence under 1 other name.
UCCUUGGUGGUCCAGUGGUUAAGACUCUGGACUUCCAAUGCAGGGGAUGAGGGUUCGAUCCCUGGUCAGGGAA